GACGAACGCUGGCGGCGUGCCUAAUACAUGCAAGUUGAGCGCUGAAGGUUGGUACUUGUACCAACUGGAUGAGCAGCGAACGGGUGAGUAACGCGUGGGGAAUCUGCCUUUGAGCGGGGGACAACAUUUAGAAACGAAUGCUAAUACCGCAUAAAAACUUUAAACACAAGUUUUAAGUUUGAAAGAUGCAAUUGCAUCACUCAAAGAUGAUCCCGCGUUGUAUUAGCUAGUUGGUGAGGUAAAGGCUCACCAAGGCGAUGAUACAUAGCCGACCUGAGAGGGUGAUCGGCCACAUUGGGACUGAGACACGGCCCAAACUCCUACGGGAGGCAGCAGUAGGGAAUCUUCGGCAAUGGACGAAAGUCUGACCGAGCAACGCCGCGUGAGUGAAGAAGGGUUUCGGAUCGUAAAACUCUGUUGGUAGAGAAGAACGUUGGUGAGAGUGGAAAGCUCAUCAAGUGACGGUAACUACCCAGAAAGGGACGGCUAACUACGUG
Molecule: ribosomal RNA, 497 nt
Filed under: uncultured bacterium
Lineage: Bacteria
Description: partial 16S ribosomal RNA
Rfam family: Bacterial small subunit ribosomal RNA
Source: RNAcentral